AAGGCGUAUUUCCGAAAAGCCAUAACAGAGUAGGAG
Molecule: non-coding RNA, 36 nt
Filed under: unclassified sequences
Description: DUF805b RNA
Rfam family: DUF805b RNA
About the family: Bacteroidetes, Chlorobi (1 example), Proteobacteria. Lineage (Flavobacteria)
Source: RNAcentral